AUCCAGCUGAUGAUUCGCGGAGUGGACGAAACGCGCGUCCUGGAU
This 45-nucleotide non-coding RNA is filed under the name Schistosoma haematobium. Lineage: Eukaryota; Metazoa; Platyhelminthes; Trematoda; Strigeidida; Schistosomatidae. The record is from RNAcentral.